RNAcentral lists this ribosomal RNA (1445 nucleotides) under uncultured organism. RNAcentral's name for it is "SSU rRNA". It matches the Rfam family "Bacterial small subunit ribosomal RNA". The record is from RNAcentral.
CUACAGGCUUAACACAUGCAAGUCGAGGGGCAUCAGGAAGAAAGCUUGCUUUCUUUGCUGGCGACCGGCGCACGGGUGAGUAACACGUAUCCAACCUGCCCUUUACUCGGGGAUAGCCUUUCGAAAGAAAGAUUAAUACCCGAUGGCAUAAUGAUUCCGCAUGGUUUCAUUAUUAAAGGAUUCCGGUAAAGGAUGGGGAUGCGUUCCAUUAGGUUGUUGGUGAGGUAACGGCUCACCAAGCCUUCGAUGGAUAGGGGUUCUGAGAGGAAGGUCCCCCACAUUGGAACUGAGACACGGUCCAAACUCCUACGGGAGGCAGCAGUGAGGAAUAUUGGUCAAUGGGCGCUAGCCUGAACCAGCCAAGUAGCGUGAAGGAUGAAGGCUCUAUGGGUCGUAAACUUCUUUUAUAUAAGAAUAAAGUGCAGUAUGUAUACUGUUUUGUAUGUAUUAUAUGAAUAAGGAUCGGCUAACUCCGUGCCAGCAGCCGCGGUAAUACGGAGGAUCCGAGCGUUAUCCGGAUUUAUUGGGUUUAAAGGGAGCGUAGGUGGACUGGUAAGUCAGUUGUGAAAGUUUGCGGCUCAACCGUAAAAUUGCAGUUGAUACUGUCAGUCUUGAGUACAGUAGAGGUGGGCGGAAUUCGUGGUGUAGCGGUGAAAUGCUUAGAUAUCACGAAGAACUCCGAUUGCGAAGGCAGCUCACUGGACUGCAACUGACACUGAUGCUCGAAAGUGUGGGUAUCAAACAGGAUUAGAUACCCUGGUAGUCCACACAGUAAACGAUGAAUACUCGCUGUUUGCGAUAUACAGUAAGCGGCCAAGCGAAAGCAUUAAGUAUUCCACCUGGGGAGUACGCCGGCAACGGUGAAACUCAAAGGAAUUGACGGGGGCCCGCACAAGCGGAGGAACAUGUGGUUUAAUUCGAUGAUACGCGAGGAACCUUACCCGGGCUUAAAUUGCAGUGGAAUGAUGUGGAAACAUGUCAGUGAGCAAUCACCGCUGUGAAGGUGCUGCAUGGUUGUCGUCAGCUCGUGCCGUGAGGUGUCGGCUUAAGUGCCGUAACGAGCGCAACCCUUAUCUUUAGUUACUAACAGGUUAUGCUGAGGACUCUAGAGAGACUGCCGUCGUAAGAUGUGAGGAAGGUGGGGAUGACGUCAAAUCAGCACGGCCCUUACGUCCGGGGCUACACACGUGUUACAAUGGGGGGUACAGAAGGCAGCUAGCGGGUGACCGUAUGCUAAUCCCAAAAGCCUCUCUCAGUUCGGAUCGAAGUCUGCAACCCGACUUCGUGAAGCUGGAUUCGCUAGUAAUCGCGCAUCAGCCACGGCGCGGUGAAUACGUUCCAGGGCCUUGUACACACCGCCCGUCAAGCCAUGGGAGCCGGGGGUACCUGAAGUACGUAACCGCAAGGAUCGUCCUAGGGUAAAACUGGUGACUGGGGCUAAGUCA